GUCUCUGUAGUAUAUUCAUUACCCUGGUCUUGUAAAUCAGAAAAGGGAGUAACUCUCCCCAAAGACU
RNAcentral lists this transfer RNA (67 nucleotides) under Lyroderma lyra (Indian false vampire). Its description in RNAcentral is "tRNA-Thr". The record is from RNAcentral. Lineage: Eukaryota; Metazoa; Chordata; Mammalia; Chiroptera; Megadermatidae.